GACGAACGCUGGCGGCGUGCCUAAUACAUGCAAGUAGAACGCUGAAGGAGGAGCUUGCUUCUCUGGAUGAGUUGCGAACGGGUGAGUAACGCGUAGGUAACCUGCCUGGUAGCGGGGGAUAACUAUUGGAAACGAUAGCUAAUACCGCAUAAGAGUAGAUGUUGCAUGACAUUUGCUUAAAAGGUGCAAUUGCAUCACUACCAGAUGGACCUGCGUUGUAUUAGCUAGUUGGUGGGGUAACGGCUCACCAAGGCGACGAUACAUAGCCGACCUGAGAGGGUGAUCGGCCACACUGGGACUGAGACACGGCCCAGACUCCUACGGGAGGCAGCAGUAGGGAAUCUUCGGCAAUGGACGGAAGUCUGACCGAGCAACGCCGCGUGAGUGAAGAAGGUUUUCGGUUCGUAAAGCUCUGUUGUAAGAGAAGAACGAGUGUGAGAGUGGAAAGUUCACACUGUGACGGUAUCUUACCAGAAAGGGACGGCUAACUACGUG
RNAcentral lists this ribosomal RNA (495 nucleotides) under uncultured bacterium. Its description in RNAcentral is "partial 16S ribosomal RNA". It matches the Rfam family "Bacterial small subunit ribosomal RNA", at positions 28 to 507 of the family's 1533-position model. The record is from RNAcentral.